GACGAGCGCUGGCGGCGUGCUUAACACAUGCAAGUCGAACGGAAAGGCCCUGCUUUUGUGGGGUGCUCGAGUGGCGAACGGGUGAGUAACACGUGAGUAACCUGCCCUUGACUGUGGGAUAACUUCAGGAAACUGGGGCUAAUACCGGAUAGGAGCUCCUGCUGCAUGGGGGGGGUUGGAAAGUUUCGGCGGUUGGGGAUGGACUCGCGGCUUAUGAGCCUGUUUGUGGGGUAGUGGCUUACCAAGGCUUUGACGGGUAGCCGGCCUGAGAGGGUGACCGGCCACCUUGGGACUGCGAUACGGCCCAGUCUCCUACGGGAGGCAGCAGUGGGGAAUCUUGCACAAUGGGCGGACGCCUGAUGCAGCAACGCCGCGUGCGGGAUGACGGCCUUCGGGUUGUAAACCGCUUUCGCCUGUGACGAAGCGUGAGUGACGGUAAUGGGUAAAGAAGCACCGGCUAACUACGUG
RNAcentral lists this ribosomal RNA (468 nucleotides) under uncultured bacterium. RNAcentral describes it as "partial 16S ribosomal RNA". It matches the Rfam family "Bacterial small subunit ribosomal RNA", at positions 28 to 507 of the family's 1533-position model. The record is from RNAcentral.